AGACUGCAACUUCGGUCGCGAAGAGCUCCAUGUAAUCACGGCGUCGGGCUCGGGCUACAUCGGGGGCAACGGUCGCCCA
RNAcentral lists this small RNA (79 nucleotides) under Sinorhizobium meliloti 2011. Its description in RNAcentral is "putative ncRNA". The record is from RNAcentral. Lineage: Bacteria; Pseudomonadati; Pseudomonadota; Alphaproteobacteria; Hyphomicrobiales; Rhizobiaceae.